GGGAGAUUAAUUCAAGGUUCACAGAACAGUACUGAGAUUGUCCUGGUGCAGAGGAGCGCAGGCAGGUUGGGACAAAAAGCAGAAUCUCCAAAACGAAAGGAAACUGAGCAGAGAAUGGAGUGAAUGGAACAGCUACUGGGAAUGGAAAAAAAAAAAAAAACGAGCAGAAUGAAUGGAUGCUUUAAAUAGCCAGGGAAGAACCGAGCCAAGCGGAGUUCUGGGAGACAUGGCGUGAACAACGUUCUAGCACUUAGGACACAGAGGAAGGAGGCCUUUGUCACUGGUGAGGAAGCAGCAUCCUACAGAGAGGCAGGACUGCCCAAGGGAGCCGCAAAACCAACAGCUACCCUGCAGGGGCCAACCCCUGCUUAUUCACAAGUCUCGAGCUGAGGUACGGAGGAGGGCAUGGUGUGUUGGCUUCCUUCCUUGUAAACCUUACCAGGUCCUCUCCCUGUGUCUAAACUCACCAAACUUUAGUUCACCCACCAGGGCCUUUCAGAGAAAUGAGAAAGGAGCAUGCUGUCACUGGGGUGGGGCUUAGCUCUCACUGGAAGGGUCUAAGGCCCAAACCCUCCAUUCGGCCCUUCCCUGGCUCCCUAAUGUGGAAGGGUGGAGGAUGGGACAGAAGAAAAACAUAAGGAAGAGAGAAGAAAGAGAACUGAGAUCAUGGACAGGCCUCUGACAGGGAUAACCAUCCCUUUUGGGAGUAAAGGGAGCAAGUGGGGAGUGUGAAGGUAAAAUAUUUUUGCACCCCUUUCCUCAACUACCUGGUACCAUCACACAUACAGGAUUGUCUCCUGGAUGCUGAGGCUCCAAAGCUCAUGCUGAUAUGGAAUUGCCUUGUAAGAGGACUCGGCUGUAAACACUGAUACAGCCUGUCUUCUCUCCAAUAGGAAACUGAAGAUGGGCCAGAGAAGAACUUACGUAUGGCUUCACCUUGGGGCCCCUCAAAUGACUGUCCAUCUAGAAGAGACUACCAUUUGGAUCAAGUUGUCUUACUUGACCAUUAGAGAAGCUAACUCCUAAGAACAGCCAAUGACCUGUCCAAGAUCAAAUAACAAAUCAGGAGCAAAUAGGAGCAAAGCCUCAACUGUCCAGACAGGCCAGGAACCUUCCUUCUAUGAACUGCACUGGAAAAACUACGCAGAGAGAAAAUACAGCGCAAAACAAAUGCCAAUAAAGCCUUUGUAUCCAGAAUACAUCAUCAGAUCUGAUGCCUUCUUCUGGCCUCCGAGGACACCAGGCUUGCAUGCGGUUCAUAGACAGACAUGCCAGCAAAACACCCCAUAUAUAUCAUAAAAUAAAUAAAUGUUUAAAGUUCUCAUAGGUUAGCAAUAGACAAGACACAGAGGGUAUAACUAAAUUGGUGCAGGGGUACUAGUAACAUACUCAUAACAAAUAGUUAGACCUGGAAAUACCAAAUCAAUCCCCAAAUGUGAAGCAGGGGCGGCACACUGCAGGUGGAGUUAGCAAGAACACCAGCUAGGACAAUUAUACUGUGGUCAGUGUGGCAGCAUCACACGUGACAGACAGGCAUGGAUAAGAUGUCUCCGGGCAGCACUGUAAAAGGGCACACACUGAGGGCAAAGAUUUCUUCAAACACCGGAAAACAAUUGGAAGUAGAUGAAUCCCGACGUGUGCAUAUUGUGGCAAUAAUAAAGAACAUCAAAACGAAUUGCCCGUGUCUAUGUGUAUGUGCGUGGCUAGCUCUCAAACACAUGACGAGAGAAGAAUAAGGGGGAAACAUAUGAAAAGUGGAGUAGGUUCCUAUUUUUGUAAGUAUUUCAAAACUCAGAACAAUACCACAUAUUAUAUUCAUUGAGUACAUAUGUAUGUGGUAGAAGUGCAAAGAGGAACAGAGCAUGUAUUGAAAACAAUGUCAAUUAAACAAGAUGCCAAGAACACACUUGAGGACAAUGACCCCCUGU
Long non-coding RNA from Peromyscus maniculatus bairdii (prairie deer mouse), 1928 nucleotides. RefSeq lists it as uncharacterized. Lineage: Eukaryota; Metazoa; Chordata; Mammalia; Rodentia; Cricetidae. The record is from RefSeq and is a predicted model, not a curated record.